This 425-nucleotide ribosomal RNA is filed under the name uncultured bacterium. RNAcentral's name for it is "partial 16S ribosomal RNA". It matches the Rfam family "Bacterial small subunit ribosomal RNA", at positions 354 to 796 of the family's 1533-position model. The record is from RNAcentral.
GUGGGGAAUCUUAGACAAUGGGGGAAACCCUGAUCUAGCCAUGCCGCGUGAUCGAUGAAGGCCUUAGGGUUGUAAAGAUCUUUCAGGUGGGAAGAUAAUGACUGUACCACCAGAAGAAGCCCCGGCUAACUCCGUGCCAGCAGCCGCGGUAAUACGGAGGGGGCUAGCGUUGUUCGGAAUUACUGGGCGUAAAGCGCACGUAGGCGGAUUGGAAAGUUGGGGGUGAAAUCCCGGGGCUCAACCCCGGAACUGCCUUCAAAACUCCCAGUCUUGAGUUCGAGAGAGGUGAGUGGAAUUCCGAGUGUAGAGGUGAAAUUCGUAGAUAUUCGGAGGAACACCAGUGGCGAAGGCGGCUUCCUGGCACAAUACUGACGCUCAUGUGCGAAAGCUAGGGCAGCGAACGGGAUUAGAUACCCUUGUAGUCC